This 351-nucleotide long non-coding RNA is filed under the name Daucus carota (carrot). RNAcentral's name for it is "long non-coding RNA (DCAR_LNC000328)". Lineage: Eukaryota; Viridiplantae; Streptophyta; Magnoliopsida; Apiales; Apiaceae. The record is from RNAcentral.
AUUAUAAAACAAAAUAAACUAAAAAAAGAAAAAGAAAAACGCACGCACGCAUAGUCUAUUCAGUAACAGUGCUACAGGCUAUAGCCUAUAUGCUAUGUUCACAUCACAUACCACAACUAAAGUGACCGGACACGAUUGAACCGCAGUCAGCCGAACGUCAACCCACCGAACCGCUUAAACCGGAGAACCGUUUGAACCGUAUUCCACGGUUACGGUUUCCAAAUUCUCAGCCCGGCCCGGCCCGAACCGGACCGUCAGUAUUGGCGUGCCGGUGACGGUUCCACUGGUGACGGUUCCAAAACCGCCUGAACCGGCCCGAACCGCCCCGGCCCGCCCGAAUGGCCGGGUCUA